UACGUAGGAGGCAAGCGUUGUCCGGAUUUACUGGGCGUAAAGAGCGUGUAGGCGGCAUGGCAAGUCUGCUGUGAAAGCUCUCGGCUUAACCGGGAGAGGUCGGUGGAAACUGCCAGGCUAGAGGACGGUAGAGGCGUGUGGAAUUCCGGGUGUAGUGGUGAAAUGCGUAGAGAUCCGGAGGAACACCAGUGGCGAAGGCGACACGCUGGGCCGUACCUGACGCUAAAGCGCGACAGCAUGGGGAGCAAACAGG
RNAcentral lists this ribosomal RNA (253 nucleotides) under uncultured bacterium. RNAcentral describes it as "partial 16S ribosomal RNA". It matches the Rfam family "Bacterial small subunit ribosomal RNA", at positions 524 to 776 of the family's 1533-position model. The record is from RNAcentral.